AAUGAACGUUGGCGGCGUGGAUUAGGCAUGCAAGUCGAGCGAGAACCCCGCAAGGGGGGACAGCGGCGAAAGGGACAGUAAUGUGUAGAUUCUCUGCCCUCAGGUCCGGGAUAGCUGCGGGAAACUGCAGGUAAUACCGGAUAACAUCUCCGGAUCAAAGGUGUGAUUCCGCCUGAGGAUGAGUCUGCAUCCUAUUAGCUAGUUGGUGGGGUAAUGGCCUACCAAGGCAUUGAUGGGUAGCAGGUGUGAGAGCACGACCUGCGUCAUUGGGACUGAGACACUGCCCAGACACCUACGGGUGGCUGCAGUCGAGAAUCUUCGGCAAUGGGCGCAAGCCUGACCGAGCGACGCCGCGUGUGGGAUGAAGGCCUUCGGGUUGUAAACCACUGUCAGAGGGGAUGAAAUGCAGGUGGGUUCUCCCAUCUGUUUGACAUAGCCUCAGAGGAAGGACGGGCUAAGUUCGUG
RNAcentral lists this ribosomal RNA (465 nucleotides) under uncultured bacterium. RNAcentral describes it as "partial 16S ribosomal RNA". It matches the Rfam family "Bacterial small subunit ribosomal RNA", at positions 29 to 507 of the family's 1533-position model. The record is from RNAcentral.